Molecule: ribosomal RNA, 505 nt
Filed under: uncultured bacterium
Lineage: Bacteria
Description: partial 16S ribosomal RNA
Rfam family: Bacterial small subunit ribosomal RNA
Source: RNAcentral
GACGAACGCUGGCGGCGUGCCUAAUACAUGCAAGUAGAACGUACAGUUUAUACCGUAGCUUGCUCCACCAUAGACUGUGAGUUGCGAACGGGUGAGUAACGCGUAGGUAACCUGCCUGGUAGCGUGGGAUAACUAUUGGAAACGAUAGCUAAUACCGCAUAAUAUUGAUUAUUGCAUGAUAAUUGAUUGAAAGAUGCUAUUGCAUCACUACCAGAUGGACCUGCGUUGUAUUAGCUAGUAGGUGAGGUAACGGCUCACCUAGGCGACGAUACAUAGCCGAACUGAGAGGGUGAUCGGCCAGACUGGGACUGAGACACGCCACAGACUCCUACGGGAGGCAGCAGUAGGGAAACUUCGGCCAUGGACGGAAGUCUGAGCGAGAAACGCCGCGUGAGUGAAGAAGGGUUUCGGAUCGUAAAGCUCUGUUGUAAGAGAAGAAAGGGUGUGAGAGUGGAAAGUUCACACUGUGACGGUAACUUACCAGAAAGGGACGGCUAACUACGUG